This 233-nucleotide long non-coding RNA is filed under the name Elaeis guineensis (African oil palm). RNAcentral describes it as "long non-coding RNA (EGUI_LNC078516)". Lineage: Eukaryota; Viridiplantae; Streptophyta; Magnoliopsida; Arecales; Arecaceae. The record is from RNAcentral.
AGACAGCCUCAGGUCCAAGGGAUACAUAUACCCAUAUCCCUUCAGAGCAAUCUUUGAUAGCAAAGUACUCCAGAAGUGGUAAUGCAUAGUGAAAUGUACUCCUACAUAUCACCCGUAUGCCAUACCCAUAUCACCACACAUCUUGAUUAAGAGGACAACUAACUAAUAUGGCACACAAUGACCUACACUCGAUACAGUUAUCAUCUUUGUAACAAUGGUAUCAUUUGGUCGCG